AUUGAACGCUGGCGGCAGGCCUAACACAUGUAAGUCGAGCGGAUGACGGGAGCUUGCUCCUUGAUUCAGCGGCGGACGGGUGAGUAAUGCCUAGGAAUCUGCCUGGUAGUGGGGGACAACGUUUCGAAAGGAACGCUAAUACCGCAUACGUCCUACGAGAGAAAGCAGGGGACCUUCGGGCCUUGCGCUAUCAGAUGAGCCUAGGUCGGAUUAGCUAGUUGGUGGGGUAAUGGCUCACCAAGGCGACGAUCCGUAACUGGUCUGAGAGGAUGAUCAGUCACACUGGAACUGAGACACGGUCCAGACUCCUACGGGAGGCAGCAGUGGGGAAUAUUGGACAAUGGGCGAAAGCCUGAUCCAGCCAUGCCGCGUGUGUGAAGAAGGUCUUCGGAUUGUAAAGCACUUUAAGUUGGGAGGAAGGGCAGUAAGCUAAUACCUUGCUGUUUUGACGUUACCGACAGAAUAAGCACCGGCUAACUCUGUGCCAGCCGCCGCCGUAA
This 500-nucleotide ribosomal RNA is filed under the name uncultured bacterium. RNAcentral describes it as "partial 16S ribosomal RNA". It matches the Rfam family "Bacterial small subunit ribosomal RNA", at positions 30 to 523 of the family's 1533-position model. The record is from RNAcentral.